CUCGCCGCUCACCUGUUUCCCAUCUACAAUCAACCUUGCAGUGAAUAUAAACUGACUCUUCAUCCACUCUUCACCAGCUUGUCUGUGACCAGAUCCAGGAUGUUUCUUCAUCACUGAUGCUGCUGCUGCCCUUUGCUCUUGUUGAAGGAGGCGGAGUCCAACGUCACCUCCCCGCUCUGAUUGGAUCAGCGGACCUAUAACCCACACGUUAUUUAUUACUUUAAAAUGUGAACGUGGAACACGAUGCAUUGUUAAAGGUGCAGGAGAACGUGCAGAAGAAUCAAAAGGGGUAAAUAAGACUGUGAGGGUGCGGAACAGGAUCACUGUCUGUCAGCAGAAAGUCACGCUGGCUGACGACAAGCCAGGUUCUUGACAUGUCAACGCAAAGCCUGCAUCCAACCUGCACAGUUUAGCAUGAGAAAAAGCUCCACGGAAAGCAGAACAAAAGGUCAAAUGUCAAGAUAGUGUUCUAUUUACUGCUUGGUCUGAGAUGCAUUUAUGCAUUCAGUUUACUGGAGUGAGACUGGAAGCAUAAUACUAGAUAAAUAGAUGAUAAAUAGGCCAUUUGGGACCUUUUCCACUGUAAACGCCGACCUUUUCAUGAGAACCAGAUCUCCUAAUGAAGCAAAAUCUAAUGUCUGAGGUCUUUAGGGAUACGAUGUGACAUGAGGUCGGGUUACGGUUAGUGUGAGUUAUUAGUUCUUUAGGGUUAAAGCUUACCGUUAGACUUGGGUUAGGCUAUCUACACUGAAAGGAAGUCAAAUCCGAUAUCUGAUAAGAAUAGUGAUGCAAACCUGUGUGGGUGUGUGUGUGUGUGAGUGAGUUUGCAGUGGGACAGCACGACAGCCUGUUAUUACGGCCCAUGUGACUGACAGUGUGUGGGCGAGAAGGUAAUUGCUGAAGUAUGCCUGUGGUGACGAGGGCCUUCAGGGGAGCGGAUGUGCAGCAGACUGUGAGAGGCACACAGAGAGCGACGGCAAGCCCAGAACUGAUGACUCAUCUCUCACACCCCAUUCACUCCUGUUUGUUUACUCCUCUCAUCUCCAGCCGGAGCCAGAGCGGUGACAGACAGGGAACUGUCACCCAGUGAUUGGGCUGUCUUAAAGGAUUGCAACUCUUUAGACUUCAGGACAAAGCGGCUUAGUUUGAUCCAGGUCCACUCACCGUGUAAACAGCCUCCAGAGCAAACACGCUGUAAGCAUGUACUUACCGUGCACUUUGUCAGAAACUCUUACUAUCAGCGAGUAGUUCCUCCCUUUGCUUUCAAAACAGCCUCAGUUCUCUCAUGUCAUGGAAACAAAAAAAAGGAAAUGUUCCUUUAAUAGUCUGCUUCAUGUUGACAUGACUGCAUCACAUUAUUUCUGCAGAUUUGUCAGCUGCACAUUCAAUCUCCUGUUCUACCCCAUGUCAAAGGUGUUCUACUAGUUUCUGGUCAGGUCUGAGUUCAGUGAACUCACCGUCAUGAUCGUGAAACGGCUUUUUCUUUGUGACAUGGAGCAUUAUCCUGCACGAAGCAUCCAUCAGAAGAUGGUAAACUGUGGCUAUAAAGAGAUUAACAUGGGCGGCAACAAUACUCAGAUACCCACCAUGACUCCACCAGCAGCCUGGACUGUUGACACAUGGCAGGGGUGGAUCCAGGGGUGGGGGCAGGGGAGGCCCAAGCGGAAAUCUGGUAGACCUCUCACUAUAAUGUUGAUUCAUUUAAAAUGAUCUAGUAACUUACCAACAAUACAAAAAAUCUAACAAAUAUGACAGUUUGCUAUUUUCUAGGUUUUUUUGAAGCACACUGUGCUUAAGGAACCGAGAAUUUUCAAAAUAUAUUCAGUUAUGUGUGUCUUUGCUCAAAGCUAUAGAGCAAAUAUUGAACAAGGAAUAACUGAAAUGUUAGCUUGACUCAGUCAGUGCAUGGACGUUGACAUAUAAUUGUAGCACCUGUACAGCCCCUGAUUGAGAAAAAUCCUAGAUCCGCCUCUGCUCCAUAGAUCCAUGCUCCAGAUUGUGACUCUCAUCAGACCAGGGCUAUGUUCUUCAGUCUUCAACUGUCCAGUGUUGGUGAGUCUGUGUCACUGCAGCCUCACAUUUCUGUUCUUGGCUGACAGGAGUGAACCUGACAUGGUCUCUGCUGGUGUAGAACCACCAAGAGCCCGAUGAGGUGUAAAUUUAGGAAGGGUGAAGAGAACAGAAAGUGUUCUACAGAUCCUCUUUCUAUCUAUCAAUUCAAGAAACCUCUGUCUGUCAUCUCGGUCUGUGUCUUGCAUAUCUCGCAAACUGUUAUCUUAUCAGCUUCAUGCUUGGCAUGUGCAUUUGUAAGGGCCCAAGGAAGUGCAGUGUCAAAUUUGGUAGGAUUCGGACACAUGAUACAUUCAGUAAUAAUGAACCUGAAUAACCAGACGACCGGCGCUCUGUGGCAGCAGCGGCUGGUUCUCAUCAACAAAACUGACACUGUCGAUUAUGACAAGAGGCGUUUUUUCGACAAAUGAUUCUCCAGUUCAGGGUUCUGAGUCAAGCUUCACCAAACGGGUGGACAGCUCUUUGUGCAGCAGCAGUGCCGCGGCUUCCGUGUCAUGCGGACAAUUACUAAAAGUCACUUUUACAGUUUCAGAAAGAAAGCUGCAACCGGCAUCACCGCAGGCCAAACAAAUCCGAAACAGGCAGGGUCAGAACAGGCACUGCAGUAGUUCUUACAAAUGUGAUGGAUUUGAUAUCAAAUGAGUCUAGCGGGCUAUCAACAGCAGUCCACGACAUUCUGUAGCCAGGCAGCAUUUAAUUAUUUACUCUGUUAUAGUUUCAAAAAAAUGAUAUGAACCAACACCAUCUCCCUGCUUUCAAACCGUAGGUCAAUCUUACAGAACUUCAGAAGCGGGUGAUCGAUUGUGUAGGGCCGCACAAAUGAAUGGGAAGCAAUGUCUGGUGUAACCGCACCACAGAAGUGUGAGCUCAUAACGUGGAAUGUGAUUUGAGUCCCAUCUGUGGUUUAGUUCCAGCAACUAAAGCACUUUACUCAGGGUUUUGGGAAAGAUGAUGGUUUUGGUUCAGUGUAAAUAAACAUGUCAUAUCUGAAGUCAUUUUCUCUAUUUGAAGCCAGACUGUGAAAAAUGACUCCUACAUUCAGUCCAUACUUGCCAAACAUGCAGACUAUCAAAAAUAUGUCCUCAUUACGUUAAUAGAGAAUAUGGUUUGGUCCCAAUCAUGUGUUCUACUAGACAUAUUUGCUGUUGCCAAUUAGUUGGAUAUAAACAUCAUUUCCACAGGACAGAGCUGCUCUGUGGCUUUAUUAGGUUCACAUGUACAAUCCAGUGUAACG
Non-coding RNA from Paralichthys olivaceus (Japanese flounder), 3304 nucleotides. NCBI's taxonomy places the organism in Eukaryota, Metazoa, Chordata, Actinopteri, Pleuronectiformes, Paralichthyidae. The record is from RefSeq and is a predicted model, not a curated record.